UGCCAGCAGCCGCGGUAAUACGGAGGGCGCGAGCAUUAAUCGGAUUUAUUGGGCGUAAAGGGCGUGUAGGCGGAAAUACAAGUCAGACGUGAAAGCCCGGGGCUCAACCCCGGAAUUGCAUCUGAAACUGUAUUUCUCGAGGAUAGUCGGGGAAGACGGAAUUCCACAAGUAGCGGUGAAAUGCGUAGAUAUGUGGAAGAACACCAGUGGCGAAGGCGGUCUUCUAGAUUAUUCCUGACGCUGAGGCGCGAAAGCAAGGGGAGCGAACAGGAUUAGAUA
Molecule: ribosomal RNA, 279 nt
Filed under: uncultured bacterium
Lineage: Bacteria
Description: partial 16S ribosomal RNA
Rfam family: Bacterial small subunit ribosomal RNA
Source: RNAcentral